RNAcentral lists this ribosomal RNA (253 nucleotides) under uncultured bacterium. RNAcentral describes it as "partial 16S ribosomal RNA". It matches the Rfam family "Bacterial small subunit ribosomal RNA", at positions 524 to 776 of the family's 1533-position model. The record is from RNAcentral.
UACGGAGGGUGCAAGCGUUAUCCGGAUUCACUGGGUUUAAAGGGUGUGUAGGCGGGCAGAUAAGUCAGUGGUGAAAUCCCCGAGCUUAACUUGGGAACUGCCAUUGAUACUAUUUGUCUUGAAUGUCGUGGAGGUUAGCGGAAUAUGUCAUGUAGCGGUGAAAUGCUUAGAUAUCGUCAAGAACACCUAUAGCGAAGGCAGCUUACUAGGCUGUAACUGACGCUGAGGCACGAAAGUGUGGGGAUCAAACAGG